This 951-nucleotide ribosomal RNA is filed under the name Lepiota magnispora. Its description in RNAcentral is "partial large subunit ribosomal RNA". It matches the Rfam family "Eukaryotic large subunit ribosomal RNA", at positions 22 to 953 of the family's 3401-position model. The record is from RNAcentral. Lineage: Eukaryota; Fungi; Basidiomycota; Agaricomycetes; Agaricales; Agaricaceae.
UUAUACCCGCGUGUGGAACUAAGCAUAUCAAUAAGCGGAGGAAAAGAAACUAACAAGGAUUCCCCUAGUAACUGCGAGUGAAGCGGGAAAAGCUCAAAUUUAAAAUCUGGCGGUCUUUGGCUGUCCGAGUUGUAAUCUAGAGAAGUGUUACCCGCGCUGGACCGUGUACAAGUCUCCUGGAAUGGAGCGUCAUAGAGGGUGAGAAUCCCGUCUCUGACACGGACUACCAGGGCUUUGUGGUAUGCUCUCAAAGAGUCGAGUUGUUUGGGAAUGCAGCUCAAAAUGGGUGGUAAAUUCCAUCUAAAGCUAAAUAUUGGCGAGAGACCGAUAGCGAACAAGUACCGUGAGGGAAAGAUGAAAAGAACUUUGGAAAGAGAGUUAAACAGUACGUGAAAUUGCUGAAAGGGAAACGCUUGAAGUCAGUCGCAUUGACCAGGGAUCAGCCUUGCAUUUGCAUGGUGUAUUUUCUGGUUGAUGGGUCAGCAUCAAUUUUGACUGCUGGAAAAAGGCUUGGGGAAUGUGACAGCUCUGGCUGUGUUAUAGACCCUUGUCAUAUACAGCAGUUGGGAUUGAGGAACUCAGCACGCCGCAAGGCCGGGUUUCGACCACGUUCGUGCUUAGGAUGCUGGCAUAAUGGCUUUAAGCGACCCGUCUUGAAACACGGACCAAGGAGUCUAACAUGCCUGCGAGUGUUUGGGUGGAAAACCCAAGCGCGUAAUGAAAGUAAAAGUUGAGAUCCCUGUCGUGGGGAGCAUCGACGCCCGGACCAGAACUUUUGGGACGGAUCUGCGGUAGAGCAUGUAUGUUGGGACCCGAAAGAUGGUGAACUAUGCCUGAAUAGGGUGAAGCCAGAGGAAACUCUGGUGGAGGCUCGUAGCGAUUCUGACGUGCAAAUCGAUCGUCAAAUUUGGGUAUAGGGGCGAAAGACUAAUCGAACCAUCUAGUGUCCUC